This 279-nucleotide ribosomal RNA is filed under the name Triticum aestivum (bread wheat). RNAcentral describes it as "partial small subunit ribosomal RNA". Lineage: Eukaryota; Viridiplantae; Streptophyta; Magnoliopsida; Poales; Poaceae. The record is from RNAcentral.
GCCCCAUGCCCAGAUAAGAUGACGGCAUUGGAGAAAUCAGUCCGCGUCUUUGCCGAGGCCCCUAGGGAGAAUGUCAUUGUACCAAACUUAGGGGUCACUUUUGAUACACUAGGCGAGACCUAUGAUUUCUACAAUACGUAUUCAUGGAAGAAAGGAUCCGGAAUUCGAUAUGAGAAGAGUAGGCUAAAUGUCAAUCGGACAAGAUGCGUGGUAUGCUUCCGUUUGUUGAAACCUUUUACAAUAUGCAUAUCUGUUUUUAGAUUGUCUGCACUUGUUUAG